Long non-coding RNA from Oncorhynchus keta (chum salmon), 167 nucleotides. RefSeq lists it as uncharacterized. The record is from RefSeq and is a predicted model, not a curated record. The transcript is spliced from 3 exons. NCBI's taxonomy places the organism in Eukaryota, Metazoa, Chordata, Actinopteri, Salmoniformes, Salmonidae.
GUGAGGUUAGGUGAGAUUAGGUCAGGUUAGGUUAGGUGAGGUUAGGUUAGGUGAGGUUAGGUUAGGUUAGGUUAGGUUAGGUGAGGUUAGGUUAGGUGAGGUUAGGUUAGGUGAGGUUAGGUUAGGUGAGGUUAGGUUAGGUUAGGUUAGGUGAGGUUAGGUUAGGU